RNAcentral lists this unclassified non-coding RNA (349 nucleotides) under soil metagenome. Its description in RNAcentral is "partial contains 5.8S ribosomal RNA, internal transcribed spacer 2, and large subunit ribosomal RNA". The stretch from base 1 to 120 matches the Rfam family "5.8S ribosomal RNA", at positions 35 to 154 of the family's 154-position model. The record is from RNAcentral.
GAUGAAGAACGUAGCGAAAUGCGAUAAGUAAUGUGAAUUGCAGAAUCCAGUGAAUCAUCGAGUCUUUGAACGCACAUUGCGCCCCCUGGUAUUCCGGGGGGCAUGCCUGUCCGAGCGUCAUUGCUGCCCUCAAGCACGGCUUGUGUGUUGGGCCUCCGCCCCCCGGCUCCCGGGGGGCGGGCCCGAAAGGCAGCGGCGGCACCGCGUCCGGUCCUCGAGCGUAUGGGGCUUCGUCACCCGCUCCGUAGGCCCGGCCGGCGCCCGCCGGCGACCCCCCUCAAUCUUUCCAGGUUGACCUCGGAUCAGGUAGGGAUACCCGCUGAACUUAAGCAUAUCAAUAAGCGGAGGA